This is a long non-coding RNA of Oncorhynchus nerka (sockeye salmon), 1352 nucleotides long. RefSeq lists it as uncharacterized. NCBI's taxonomy places the organism in Eukaryota, Metazoa, Chordata, Actinopteri, Salmoniformes, Salmonidae. The transcript is spliced from 5 exons. The record is from RefSeq and is a predicted model, not a curated record.
UAAAUGUGUGUGUGUGUGUGUGUGUGUGUGUGUGUGUGUGUGUGUGUGUGUGUGUAGAUUAAACAUGAACGGGCCAAAACGGACAUGGCAGCAGGUCAAAAUCAAAUACAAGAACAUUCUGCAGAAUGCAGUGAAAAAGAAUACCCACAGACAAGGCACGGGUGGUGGGUCACCAAAGGCUGACCUUACCCCAGCAGAGGACAUGGCCUUGGAGCUAAAUAAAGGCAGGCCCGUCUUAGAGGGGAUCCCUGGGGGAAAGAGACGAGCAUAGGUUCCUCCCAAGAUGCCACCCGCUUCAUUCAAGUGCCUGGCAGCACUGUGUUCCUGUUAGAGCCACCAGCACAAGCACCAGACGAUGCUGAUCCAGGUGAAGGCCCCAGUGCAGCAGCAACAGCACAUGAUGGAGACGAUGAUGAGGAGGAGACCAUCUCUCUGGAUUCCAGAAGGCAUGAGGUAUCAUGUUAAGACUGUGAAAGUACUAUUUACUCUACAAUGGUGAGGAGUCCUCAUCAAAAUCAAAAAUCUAAUUUCUUUUACAGAACCCAGAUGCUAUACAGUGGGAAAACCAGCCUGGCAACAUAGUGCGUAUUAAUAAAAGGACACCACAUCCUGCCAAAUUCCAGCUGCGCUAAUUGUAUUGUGUUCACAGAGCUCACAAGCUAUCAGAAAGUUGUAUGGCAACCACCUCCGGCGCCAAAUAGAACUGGCAGACAUAGACAUUCAGUACAAGAAGAAAAAGAUGGAAAAUCUUGCACUGGAGUCCGAAAUAAAAAAGAGGACAAUUAGGAAACUGGACCUUGAAAUAAAAAAACUUGAGAGGGAGCUCCAAGAAGAUGACACAGCUCAAAAUAAAAAUUAGGUAUAUUCUCGUAAAGUCAAGUGAGCCAUGACAUAUGAGCUCUUAUUGUGAGCACACAGGACGGUGGCAUCUUUCUAAGGUUUUUUUUAUUUUCCCAGCAAUCAGUACAACCAAGUCAUCGUUAUAAGGCAUCGCCCUCUUUUGCCCACCCCCAGCACCAGGUGUGGCCACUAGCCUAUAUGAAGGCCCAAAAUUGUGUGUUCCUUUCUGCUCUGACAAUGGCAUGCCCAUUCGUGCGAGAUGUGGUGGAUGAAGAAGCACUUGUGCUGAGGAGCGCCUUCAGGCGAGAAAGGGUCUUCAGGGACCGGUUGGACCCACUGGCCUUCCCUGAUGACCAUCUAUAUGAAAGAUACAGGUUUUCUGCAGAUGGCAUCAGGUAUCUAUGCAGACUACUGGGUCCCAGGAUUAAGCACCGCACUGCACGGAGCCAUGCACUGAGUGUGGAGCAAAUGGUUUGUGUGGCCUUGCGCUUUUUGCUAGUGGAGCCUUCCUG